Molecule: non-coding RNA, 73 nt
Organism: Parelaphostrongylus tenuis
Lineage: Eukaryota; Metazoa; Nematoda; Chromadorea; Rhabditida; Metastrongylidae
Source: the annotation of a GenBank genome assembly
GUGUUGGUAGUGCAACGGUUCAGCACGCAUUAUCGGAAAGAGUAAGAUCUGGGUUCGAGUCCCAGCUAACGCA